RNAcentral lists this ribosomal RNA (478 nucleotides) under uncultured bacterium. RNAcentral describes it as "partial 16S ribosomal RNA". It matches the Rfam family "Bacterial small subunit ribosomal RNA", at positions 28 to 523 of the family's 1533-position model. The record is from RNAcentral.
GACGAACGCUGGCGGCGUGCUUAACACAUGCAAGUCGAACGAGGUCCAUGGAGUAGCAAUACUCCGGAAGACCUAGUGGCGAACGGGUGCGUAACACGUGAGGAACUUGUCCCGGUCUCUGGGAUAACAGUUGGAAACGACUGCUAAUACCGGAUGACGUCGGAGCGUCGCAUGGCGCGCUGACGAAAGGGUUACUGGAUCGGGAGAGCCUCGCGGCCUAUCAGCUAGUUGGUGGGGUAACGGCCUACCAAGGCAUCGACGGGUAGCUGGUCUGAGAGGAUGAUCAGCCACACAGGGACUGAGAAACGGCCCAGACUCCUACGGGAGGCAGCAGUGGGGAAUCUUGCGCAAUGGGCGAAAGCCUGACGCAGCAACGCCGCGUGUAGGAUGAAGGCCCUCGGGUCGUAAACUACUUUUUGGGAGUCAUGAAGGCGCCCAGAAUAAGGAACUACUAACUACGUGCCAGCCGCCGCAGUAA